GAUGAACGCUGGCGGCGUGCCUAAUACAUGCAAGUCGAGCGAACAGACGAGGAUCUUGCUCCUCUUACGUUAGCGGCGGACGGGUGAGUAACACGUGGAUAACCUACCUAUAAGACUGGGAUAACUUCGGGAAACCGGAGCUAAUACCGGAUAAUAUAUUGAACCGCAUGGUUCAAUAGUGAAAGACGGUUUUGCUGUCCCUUAUAGAUGGAUCCGCGCCGCAUUAGCUAGUUGGUAAGGUAACGGCUUACCAAGGCAACGAUGCGUAGCCGACCUGAGAGGGUGAUCGGCCACACUGGAACUGAGACACGGUCCAGACUCCUACGGGAGGCAGCAGUAGGGAAUCUUCCGCAAUGGGCGAAAGCCUGACGGAGCAACGCCGCGUGAGUGAUGAAGGUCUUCGGAUCGUAAAACUCUGUUAUUAGGGAAGAACAAAUGUGUAAGUAACUAUGCACGUCUUGACGGUACCUAAUCAGAAAGCCACGGCUAACUACGUG
This 497-nucleotide ribosomal RNA is filed under the name uncultured bacterium. Its description in RNAcentral is "partial 16S ribosomal RNA". It matches the Rfam family "Bacterial small subunit ribosomal RNA", at positions 28 to 507 of the family's 1533-position model. The record is from RNAcentral.